This 1053-nucleotide long non-coding RNA is filed under the name Canis lupus familiaris (dog). RNAcentral's name for it is "lncRNA (ENSCAFG00040025504.1)". Lineage: Eukaryota; Metazoa; Chordata; Mammalia; Carnivora; Canidae. The record is from RNAcentral.
AUGGCUGCCCACUCCCCUGUCUCGGCCACCUCAGACCCGGGUUCCACCAUGUGCUGCAAUCCACUUGGGCUCGGCCGCAGCCCGGAGCCAACGUCCCGUGGAGGAGGAGGGAGGAGGGAGGAGGGGGAGGAGGGGGAGGAGGGAGGAGGGGGAGGAGGGAGGAGGGAGGAGGGGGAGGAGGAGGAGGAGGAGGAGGGAGGAGGGGGGAGGAGGGGGGAGGAGGGGAGGAGGGGGGGAGGAGGGAGGAGGAGGAGGAGGAGGAGGAGGGAGGAGGAGGAGGAGGGAGGAGGAGGAGGAAGAGGAGGAGGAGGAGACUAUAAUUAUCCUCCCCGGCUGGGGCAGGCCCUGGAUGACAUCUCCCCAGUUACCCGGUGCUCUAAUAGCGCAGCGCCGAUUCCCGGUUCCAGUCGCGCCGCAGCGGGCUCCCAGGGCGGGCAGGGCCCGGAGCACGGUCGCCGCGCCCGCAGCGUCCCUGGCCUCCCGAGCCUCCGGGGCUCCGCGGGCCCCCCCGCCGCGCCCCCGCCGCCGCCCGCACCUGCACCGAGAGCCCGGCCCGGGGCUAGGGCCCUGCGGCGCGCGGGCUGUUACCAUAACAACCGGGCGCCCGCCGCGGAGGCCGCCGGGGAGGAAGUGACGCGCGGUGGGUCGGCUGUUGUUGGGACACGUGACCCGGGCAGUGUUUUGACAGGGCAAACAGCGGAGAAAGAGCUGGGCGAGCGAGGGGGACCGGGAGCUGGGGCGCCAGAGCUAGAGACAGCGGGCGGGCGAGGAGCUGGCCGAGGCGCGGGGCAAGCGGGCCGGCCGGGGCGACGGGCGGGCGAAGCCCGGGGGCCGCGGGGCUCGGGUGCGAGUCGGGCAGGGGGGCGGGCUGGGCGCUGGGAGCGGAGCGGAGCGAGGCGGCGGCCGAGGCGGGGGUGGAUGGCCGCGGGGGCUGGUGCCCUCGGGCCCCCGUGGUCCUCUGAGGCAGCCCGGGGGGCCGCUGCGCGCCACGCUCCGCUCUCGCCGGCCCUGCGCCUCUCGGAGCCUCGGGUCUGCGGCGGGGGUGUGAUGUGA